Molecule: ribosomal RNA, 505 nt
Filed under: uncultured bacterium
Lineage: Bacteria
Description: partial 16S ribosomal RNA
Rfam family: Bacterial small subunit ribosomal RNA
Source: RNAcentral
GACGAACGCUGGCGGCGUGCCUAAUACAUGCGAGUAGAACGCACAGUUUAUACCGUAGCUUGCUCCACCAUAGACUGUGAGUUGCGAACGGGUGAGUAACGCGUAGGUAACCUGCCUGGUAGCGGGGGAUAACUAUUGGAAACGAUAGCUAAUACCGCAUAAUAUUGAUUAUUGCAUGAUAAUUGAUUGAAAGAUGCUAUUGCAUCACUACCAGAUGGACCUGCGUUGUAUUAGCUAGUAGGUGAGGUAACGGCGCACCUAGGCGACGAUACAUAGCCGACCUGAGAGGGUGAUCGGCCACACUGGGACGGAGACACGGCCCAGACUCCUACGGGAGGCAGCAGUAGGGAAUCUUCGGCAAUGGACGAAAGUCUGACCGAGCAACGCCGCGGGAGUGAAGAAGGUUUUCGGAUCGUAAAGCUCUGUUGUAAGAGAAGAACGGGUGUGAGAGUGGAAAGUUCACACUGUGACGGUAUCUUACCAGAAAGGGACGGCUAACUACGUG